Molecule: long non-coding RNA, 2098 nt
Filed under: Phoenix dactylifera (date palm)
Lineage: Eukaryota; Viridiplantae; Streptophyta; Magnoliopsida; Arecales; Arecaceae
Description: long non-coding RNA (PDAC_LNC000068)
Source: RNAcentral
GUGGCUGAAAUAGGGACGCGUACCAUACGAUCUAGUAUGGUACACGCACCAUAUGAUUUUUGUUCAGGAACUCCAGAAGUCAGCCUCUUGACUGACCACGUGUAUGUUGGUGAUUUGAUCAAAGGUGGGCGAAUGAUUUAGGGCCCGACACCUCCUUGACCGAAGAAAACUAAAACAAAGAGAGGUUAAUCGAGCAGCGAAGUAGAUCGAAGAGAAAAGAAAGAGUUCGAGGGUUUUGUUUCAGAGGAAGGAAGGUGCGGUUCUCGUUCUCUUUAUUCAUUUAAGUUCAAUGAUUUCUUUGAUUUAUUUUUGUUUUCGUGCGUGGAUCGAUCCGAUCUGACGUUAUCAAGUCUUCAUUUCAUCUGAGUUUUGAAAGAUUUGGUUUUCAUGUUUUAUUUUUUAAAGUUUCUUUUUGGCCGUGUUGUCCUCUCAGCAUUUUCAGAGGAAAAAAAAGGAAUUUAUGCAUUGAUCGUAUUAAUUUUGCCACGGCUUUUCCUACGGAGGUGGUUGACCUCAGAAACUUCCCGUUACGUACUACUUCCUUCCAAUUUGGGGCUGUUAAAUUUAAACCCCCAAAACAUAAAAAAAUUUAAAUAGCCAUCCAAAUCUUAUUUUCAUUGCAAUAGAAUUUACGCAUCUAUCUGAAUUCUAACACUAUUAAUAAAAUAAAAAAUCAAUAAAAAAAAUCAAAUCAUGAUUUUCACGCAAUCUCAAAAUGCUUUGUCCUUUAUAAUUCAUCCACUUGCACAAAUCUUAAUGAACUCUAUACUUUAUCGUUUAUCUAUUUGCAUAAAUUUUGAAGAGCUCGAUCCUUUACCACUUAAAGAGCUAGAUUCUCUAUCAUCUAUCUGCUUAUGCAGGUCUCAAAGCACUCCGUUUGCCUAUUUCUUCUUUCUCAUCUGCCCUCUGGGGUUCAUUUUCAAAAUGGUUUAGGAAUCACCCUUUCUCAUGAAGCUUUUCAUCUGAACUAUAUUCUGUCAUCGUAAUUGAGAUUCGAGAGUAGUCUACUCUAGAUGGACUGACUGAUGACCCAUUUCUCUCAAGCUUGUUACUUGCUUAGUACCAUUUGGCAGAUGAGAACCAAAUAGGAUUUUAUUACCAUACUGAAUGAUAACAAUAAAAAGAGGAACAUGUUGCGCUUUGUCUUGUUUUUUGUGACUUCGUAGCAGCCCAAACUGCAAGUAUUCAUGUUCCAUGGGCCUUUUCCCUCAUUUUCGGAUAAAAAAUUUAAGCCACCAACUCUCCAUUAUUGCUGUUCUAAAGUUUUUGGGGUCACAUUGAUUUGGCCGAUUUAGUAUCUACCACUAAUCAACUUCCUCUUACUACUUUUUUUUUCUUCGAUUUUCUCAUCAUAUUCAGAUUCCCAUUUCGUAUCAGCUUGUGAAUCUAGAAAUAUUUUGAGGAAACUGGGAUUUUUUUUAUUUUUAUUUUUUAUGGUUCACGAUAACCAGCUGAACAAUGAGCUACAUUCUGAUUACCAAGUAACCCUUCACAAAUUCUUUACUUUUAUGUUUAGCAUCUAGGACGUGCUUCCUCUUAUGGAGCAUUUCCAGCAAUCUUUCUUCUCGUUGUAUCAUAAUUUCAACUUGAAGACGGUGCCAAUUCCAAAUGUGGUUGCAUCCUAACUAUUUACCAAUCAUCUCUUGCAUAUUAAUUUGUCUACUUAUUGCUGCCUCUUAUGAUUCCAAACAGGGACUUUGCAACUAUGAACUGUCAAGCCAGGCCAACCAAAACUGUUCUAGUAGAUAAACAAACCUUGUUUAAGCACUGGUUCUUGAGAGCGCUUCUGGCUUCCGGUCAUUCUAUUUUUCAUCCAUGAAAAGAAAAAUAACAAGCUCAGCAUUUAUGAAGAAACCCUGCUGGAAACAAGAAGAGGUUUGCGAAAAUGGCUGCAAAAACCAGGAUCCUUUUCUUCAUGCAUUAAGUGCAGAAUUACGUCCUCACUCUGCCCAUGAGCCAAUGAUUCAACAGCUUCUAAAGCAGCCAUGGCAAGUCCUUCAUAAUAUGACAAGUGUCUCCACUAGUGACUUGCCAUUGAUAUCUAAUAUGUUCUUCAGCCCACAUGGCCAUGAGAGUAUUGGAUCCCAUGCAUUUCUAC